RNAcentral lists this ribosomal RNA (780 nucleotides) under uncultured bacterium. RNAcentral's name for it is "bacterial SSU rRNA". It matches the Rfam family "Bacterial small subunit ribosomal RNA", at positions 715 to 1505 of the family's 1533-position model. The record is from RNAcentral.
GCGAAGGCAGCGUACCGGCGCCACACUGACGCUGAGGCACGAAAGCGUGGGGAUCGAACAGGAUUAGAUACCCUGGUAGUCCACGCAGUAAACGAUGAAUGCUGGUUGUCCGGGUCGAAUGAGACCUGGGCGGCGAAGCGAAAGCGAUAAGCAUUCCACCUGGGGAGUACGCCGGCAACGGUGAAACUCAAAGGAAUUGACGGGGGCCCGCACAAGCGGAGGAACAUGUGGUUUAAUUCGAUGAUACGCGAGGAACCUUACCCGGGCUCAAACGGGAGCGGAAUGGACCAGAGACGGUUCAGCCUACGGGCCGCUUCCGAGGUGCUGCAUGGUUGUCGUCAGCUCGUGCCGUGAGGUGUCGGCUUAAGUGCCAUAACGAGCGCAACCCCCGCCGGCAGUUGCUAACGGGCAAUGCCGAGGACUCUGCCGGGACUGCCGCCGCAAGGCGAGAGGAAGGCGGGGAUGACGUCAAAUCAGCACGGCCCUUACGUCCGGGGCGACACACGUGUUACAAUGGGCGGUACAGCGGGAAGCCAGGCGGCGACGCCGAGCGGAACCCGAAAGCCGUUCUCAGUUCGGAUCGGAGUCUGCAACCCGACUCCGUGAAGCUGGAUUCGCUAGUAAUCGCGCAUCAGCCAUGGCGCGGUGAAUACGUUCCCGGGCCUUGUACACACCGCCCGUCAAGCCAUGGGAGCCGGGGGUGCUUGAAGUGCGUCGCCGCGAGGCGCGCCCUAGAGCAAAACCGGUGACUGGGGCUAAGUCGUAACAAGGUAACCGUAA